RNAcentral lists this long non-coding RNA (306 nucleotides) under Mytilus galloprovincialis (Mediterranean mussel). The record is from RNAcentral. Lineage: Eukaryota; Metazoa; Mollusca; Bivalvia; Mytilida; Mytilidae.
CUCGUGCUUUUAAUUACCCCUCUUCGUGAUUACCGUUAUGACAACAGAAACCCGGGACUUGAUUUAUAUGUAAAAUUACUGAGGGGCGGAUCCAGCCACGAUAAAGGGGGUUCCAACUACAUGUCUCCAUUUAAUAAGGGGUGUCGUUAUCGCUGGGUUUCUUUUACCCCACCCUUUAAAAAAAAUUUAGAUUUCAAAAGUGUAUACCUUUUCAUAUAUUGCGUAGGUUAAAAUAUUGUCUUUUCCCAUAUUGUUUGCGUUUUGUUUGGUGUGUAUGGUAAUGUAACAGUGUCAAAAGAGAGUUUU